UACGUAGGGUGCGAGCGUUAAUCGGAAUUACUGGGCGUAAAGCGUGCGCAGGCGGUUGUGCAAGACAGAUGUGAAAUCCCCGGGCUCAACCUGGGAAUUGCAUUUGUGACUGCACGGCUAGAGUGUGUCAGAGGGGGGUAGGAAUUCCACAUGUAGCAGUGAAAUGCGUAGAGAUGUGGAGGAAUACCGAUGGCGAAGGCAGCCCCCUGGGAUAACACUGACGCUCAUGCACGAAAGCGUGGGAGCAAACAGG
This 253-nucleotide ribosomal RNA is filed under the name uncultured bacterium. Its description in RNAcentral is "partial 16S ribosomal RNA". It matches the Rfam family "Bacterial small subunit ribosomal RNA", at positions 524 to 776 of the family's 1533-position model. The record is from RNAcentral.